UCCGAGUUGUCCCCGGCAGUCUCCUAUGAGUCCCCGGCAUAACCCGCUGGUAACAUAGAACAAGGGUUGCGCUCGUUGCGGGACUUAACCCAACAUCUCACGACACGAGCUGACGACAGCCAUGCAGCACCUGUGUUCCGAUUCCCUUUCGGGCACGCCCGCCUCUCAGCGGGCUUCCGGACAUGUCAAGGGUAGGUAAGGUUGUUCGCGUUGCAUCGAAUUAAUCCACAUCAUCCACCGCUUGUGCGGGUCCCCGUCAAUUCCUUUGAGUUUUAACCUUGCGGCCGUACUCCCCAGGCGGUCGACUUCACGCGUUAGCUUCGUUACUGAGAGUGUCAAACCCCCAACAACCAGUCGACAUCGUUUAGGGCGUGGACUAC
This 380-nucleotide unclassified non-coding RNA is filed under the name uncultured Gammaproteobacteria bacterium. RNAcentral's name for it is "contains 16S-23S intergenic spacer region". Lineage: Bacteria; Pseudomonadati; Pseudomonadota; Gammaproteobacteria. The record is from RNAcentral.